CCUACGGGUGGCAGCAGUGGGGGAUCUUGCACAAUGGGGGAAACCCUGAUGCAGCGACGCCGCGUGAGUGAAGAAGUAUUUCGGAAUGUAAAACUCUAUCAGCGGGGAAGAAAAUGACAGUACCUGACCAAGAAGCCCCGGCUAACUCCGUGCCAGCCGCCGCGGUAAUACGGAGGGGGAAAGCGUUAGCCGGAUUUACUGGGUGUAAAGGGAGCGUAGACGGUUAGGUAAGUCUGGAGUGAAAGCCCGGGGCCCAACCCCGGGACUGCUUUGGAAACUGGGUAACUGGAGUACAGGAGGGGCAGGCGGAAUUCCUGGGGUAGCGGUGAAAUGCGUAGAGAUCAGGAGGAACACCGGCGGCGAAGGCGGCCUGCUGGACUGAAACUGACGUUGAGGCGCGAAAGCGUGGGGAGCAAACAGGAUUAGAUACCCGAGUAGUC
RNAcentral lists this ribosomal RNA (440 nucleotides) under uncultured bacterium. Its description in RNAcentral is "partial 16S ribosomal RNA". It matches the Rfam family "Bacterial small subunit ribosomal RNA", at positions 338 to 795 of the family's 1533-position model. The record is from RNAcentral.